AGCGAACGCUGGCGGCAGGCCUAACACAUGCAAGUCGAACGAACCUUUCGGGGUUAGUGGCGGACGGGUGAGUAACACGUGGGAACGUGCCUUUAGGUUCGGAAUAACUCAGGGAAACUUGUGCUAAUACCGAAUGUGCCCUUCGGGGGAAAGAUUAAUCGCCUUUAGAGCGGCCCGCGUCUGAUUAGCUAGUUGGUUGAGGUAAUGGCUCACCAAGGCGACGAUCAGUAGCUGGUCUGAGAGGAUGGUCAGCCACAUUGGGACUGAGACACGGCCCAAACUCCUACGGGAGGCAGCAGUGGGGAAUCUUGCGCAAUGGGCGAAAGCCUGACGCAGCCAUGCCGCGUGAAUGAUGAAGGUCUUAGGAUUGUAAAAUUCUUUCACCGGGGACGAUAAUGACGGUACCCGGAGAAGAAGCCCCGGCUAACUUCGUG
RNAcentral lists this ribosomal RNA (434 nucleotides) under uncultured bacterium. Its description in RNAcentral is "partial 16S ribosomal RNA". It matches the Rfam family "Bacterial small subunit ribosomal RNA", at positions 29 to 507 of the family's 1533-position model. The record is from RNAcentral.